GACUCAUUAGCUCAGUUGGUAGAGCAUCUGACUUUUAAUCAGAGGGUCGCAGGUUCGAGCCCUGCAUGGGUCA
RNAcentral lists this transfer RNA (73 nucleotides) under Larus smithsonianus (American herring gull). It matches the Rfam family "tRNA". Rfam says of the family: Transfer RNA (tRNA) molecules are approximately 80 nucleotides in length. Their secondary structure includes four short double-helical elements and three loops (D, anti-codon, and T loops). Further hydrogen bonds mediate the characteristic L-shaped molecular structure. tRNAs have two regions of fundamental functional importance: the anti-codon, which is responsible for specific mRNA codon recognition, and the 3' end, to which the tRNAs corresponding amino acid is attached (by aminoacyl-tRNA synthetases). tRNAs cope with the degeneracy of the genetic code in two manners: having more than one tRNA (with a specific anti-codon) for a particular amino acid; and 'wobble' base-pairing, i.e. permitting non-standard base-pairing at the 3rd anti-codon position. The record is from Rfam by way of RNAcentral. RNAcentral also lists the same sequence under 2 other names. Lineage: Eukaryota; Metazoa; Chordata; Aves; Charadriiformes; Laridae.